Molecule: non-coding RNA, 1213 nt
Organism: Triticum urartu
Lineage: Eukaryota; Viridiplantae; Streptophyta; Magnoliopsida; Poales; Poaceae
Source: RefSeq, a predicted model, not a curated record
CUCCCAUCUCCUCCUGUACCAACCAUCAGCCGCCGCCACUCCACCUAUCCUCCUCCCGCCGCUCCAUGUCGGCGCCGGCGGCGCUGAACCACCCCGCGCCGGGCCCCUCCCCAUCUAUCCCGCGCUAGAUCCCUCCCUGUCAAGGCCACGCUAUGCCCCUCCCCAUUCAGAUCGCCCCCUCGACCUAUGGCACCCCACUCCUACCCCCGAGCUGAGGCGGCAGCGGUGGCGGCGAGACCGACUGCCGGAUUUGGAAGUCCCGUAGGUUGCCGGUGGUGUGAACGGAUCCAUCUCCAUCCGGCGGUGAGCCUAGGUGAGGACUUGAGGUACAGGAGGAGGCAACACAGCCACAGAUCCACAGUACAUGGGCGGCCCUUGUGGCUGGGUCUAAGUACGUCAGCCGCGCCACCGUGGGUCCCCUCGUCAUCACGGCCGUCUUCUCCAUCUGUGAUGCGCGUCUCCUCAAGGCAAUGUUGUGAAGGCAUUUUUUGUUGUUGUUGAAAACAAGGUAUUACUAACUCACAAGUUCCAUCGAUUGUGUGUCUCCUCAAGACAAUGUUCAUAAAGCCGCUGCUUCCCCCAGCUUCCGCCUUGCCGCUGCGUGGAGCCGCCUCGCCGCUGACACCGCCGCCCGUCGCCACUUGCUAGCAAGGUGCACACACGCACCCAACAUCCAUCCAUCCCCAGGGGAGACCAGCAUGUGAAUCACCACGACCAUUUCUCUUGGCCAGCACAAGCAGUGCCAUCGGCGGUCAAGACAAGCAUCCAACAACUGAAGAAAGUCCUGAAUCUGGUUAAGAGUUUUCUUAUUGGUCUAUCUCAUGGACACCCAGAUUGGUAUGCAGUUUUCUCAACACCCAGAUUUGUGGAGCUUGAGGUUGGACAUUUAGGAUGGGACUGCAGAUCUUUGGAUGUUAUUCUUCAGGGUAUGAUUGCAUAGCGAGCUACUUGGUGCUGCUAAUCACAGUCUGCACGACAUGAUACAUAGUUUCCAUCAGGAGGGCCGAUGGCAAGGAGAUGAAUAAUAACUUCAAUAGUUUAAAUGUUUAGUUUGUUUAAGCUGGAUUGUAUUGUUUCCUAACUUUGCUAAGUGAUAUUUUGUCAAUCUAUGUUGUAAAAUUAUCAUUUCACGGAGGACUUUGUAAACUGCUAUGUUGUAGAUACCUGCGGAUGUUUCCAUAUUGUUUCAUAUGUGCACGUAUGAAUUCGGAAA